RNAcentral lists this ribosomal RNA (1049 nucleotides) under fungal endophyte. RNAcentral's name for it is "eukaryotic LSU rRNA". The stretch from base 458 to 1049 matches the Rfam family "Eukaryotic large subunit ribosomal RNA", at positions 1 to 603 of the family's 3401-position model. Lineage: Eukaryota; Fungi. The record is from RNAcentral.
AGAGUUCUGAAAGACUCCCACCCCUGUGAACCUAUACUAUCGUAUGUUGCCUCGGCGGCCUCGCGCCGCCGGGGGGAUACCAAACUCAACCUUUGCGUACGUCUGUCAGUCUGAUAAAAACAAAACAAUAACAACUUUCAACAAUGGAUCUCUUGGCUCUGGCAUCGAUGAAGAACGCAGCGAAAUGCGAUAAGUAAUGCGAAUUGCAGAUCUCAGUGAGUCAUCGAAUCUUUGAACGCACAUUGCGCCCGCCGGUAUUCCGGCGGGCAUGCCUGUCCGAGCGUCAUUUCGACCCUCAAGCCCAGCUUGGUGUUGGGGCACCCGGGCGUCACAGCCCGGGGCCCCCAAGUCGAUCGGCGGUCUCGUCGGACCCCUAGCGCAGCAAACGCGGUAAAACGCGCCUCGUUAGGCGGAUCCCGGCGACCACCAGCCGCUAAAACCCCCAAUCUUUCAAGGUUGACCUCGGAUCAGGUAGGAAUACCCGCUGAACUUAAGCAUAUCAAUAAGCGGAGGAAAAGAAACCAACAGGGAUUGCCCCAGUAACGGCGAGUGAAGCGGCAACAGCUCAAAUUUGAAAUCUGGCCUCACGGUCCGAGUUGUAAUUUGCAGAGGAUGCUUUUGGUGACGCGCCUACCGAGUCCCCUGGAAUGGGGCGCCGCAGAGGGUGAGAGCCCCGUACGGUUUGCCGCCGAGCCUUUGUAAAGCUCCUUCGACGAGUCGAGUAGUUUGGGAAUGCUGCUCUAAAUGGGAGGUAAAUUUCUUCUAAAGCUAAAUACCGGCCAGAGACCGAUAGCGCACAAGUAGAGUGAUCGAAAGAUGAAAAGCACUUUGAAAAGAGAGUUAAAUAGCACGUGAAAUUGUUGAAAGGGAAGCGCUAGUGACCAGACUCGCGCCCGGCGGAUCAUCCGGCCUUCUGGCCGGUGCACUCCGUCGGGCUCGGGCCAGCAUCGGUUUCGGGCGGGGGACAAAGGCUUCGGGAACGUGGCUCCCCUCGGGGAGUGUUAUAGCCCGUUGCGUAAUACCCCGUCUGGGACCGAGGACCGCGCUCG